AUCUGGGCGGCGGAAUUCAGGACGGUCGGGCGGGUCUCGCGCUCGUCGGGCCGUUUGAUAUUUCCGUCGCCGUGUCAGACGUCGCGACCUGUUCGUCGUCGGUCCUUGCUCGGAGGAAGCGCGAUCGGGUUCGUUGCGGGCGCGCUUCGGUGCGUUCCGCGGCGAAGACGCGACUCUCUGGCUGACGACGGACAGUAAGCAACGGUGUCCGGCGUCGUGUCUCGCACUCGACGUCGGUGCCGGUCAGCGACGAUUUCUUCGGGCCUCUUUCCGACCCGUCUUGAAACACGGACCAAGGAGUCUAACAUGCGCGCGAGUCGCGGGGUUUCGAGCGUGCCACGGUGCGCUCGUUACUUCCGAAACCCGUACGUUGAAGGCGUAAUGAAAGUGAAUAGGGAAGAUGGCGUUCCGAGUCCACGUACCGUGAUCGAGUAUCGCGGCCGGACGUCCGCACUCCCGGGGCGUCUCAAUGGCUCGCCACGAAUGCGGACGGUCGUCUCUCGGGGCGGCCGUCGGUCUGUGGCGGUCCGA
RNAcentral lists this ribosomal RNA (531 nucleotides) under Aulacaspis rosae. RNAcentral's name for it is "eukaryotic LSU rRNA". The record is from RNAcentral. Lineage: Eukaryota; Metazoa; Arthropoda; Insecta; Hemiptera; Diaspididae.